Paraphaeosphaeria sporulosa is the source of this 101-nucleotide transfer RNA. It matches the Rfam family "tRNA". From Rfam's summary of the family: Transfer RNA (tRNA) molecules are approximately 80 nucleotides in length. Their secondary structure includes four short double-helical elements and three loops (D, anti-codon, and T loops). Further hydrogen bonds mediate the characteristic L-shaped molecular structure. tRNAs have two regions of fundamental functional importance: the anti-codon, which is responsible for specific mRNA codon recognition, and the 3' end, to which the tRNAs corresponding amino acid is attached (by aminoacyl-tRNA synthetases). tRNAs cope with the degeneracy of the genetic code in two manners: having more than one tRNA (with a specific anti-codon) for a particular amino acid; and 'wobble' base-pairing, i.e. permitting non-standard base-pairing at the 3rd anti-codon position. The record is from Rfam. Lineage: Eukaryota; Fungi; Ascomycota; Dothideomycetes; Pleosporales; Didymosphaeriaceae.
GGGCUUGUGGUUUAGUGGUAUAAUUUUCCCUUAGCAUUGGCGUGCCUUACAGCAUUGCGAAUACGUGGGAAAGGUCCUGGGUUCGAUUCCCAGCAAGUCCA